UUUUUUUUCGCUCAGGAUGAACGCUGGCGGCGUGCUUAACACAUGCAAGUCGAACGAGCCUUCGGGCUAGUGGCGGACGGGUGAGUAACGCGUGGGAAUCUGCCCUCAGGAGGGGGAUAACGGCCGGAAACGGCCGCUAAUACCCCAUAUGCCGAGAGGUGAAAUGAAUUUCGCCUGAGGAUGAGCCCGCGUCUGAUUAGCUAGUUGGUGUGGUAAUGGCGCACCAAGGCUUCGAUCAGUAGCUGGUCUGAGAGGAUGAUCAGCCACACUGGGACUGAGACACGGCCCAGACUCCUACGGGAGGCAGCAGUGGGGAAUUUUCCGCAAUGGGCGCAAGCCUGACGGAGCAACGCCGCGUGAGGGACGAAGGCCUCUGGGCUGUAAACCUCUUUUCUCAAGGAAGAAGACAUGACGGUACUUGAGGAAUAAGCCACGGCUAAUUCCGUGCCAGCAGCCGCGGUAAUACGGGAGUGGCAAGCGUUAUCCGGAAUUAUUGGGCGUAAAGCGUCCGCAGGCGGCCCAGCAAGUCUGUUGUUAAAAAGUGGAGCUUAACUCCAUCCAGGCAAUGGAAACUGCUGGGCUAGAGUGUGGUAGGGGCAGAGGGAAUUCCCGGUGUAGCGGUGAAAUGCGUAGAUAUCGGGAAGAACACCAGUGGCGAAGGCGCUCUGCUGGGCCAUAACUGACGCUCAUGGACGAAAGCCAGGGGAGCGAAAGGGAUUAGAUACCCCUGUAGUCCUGGCCGUAAACGAUGAACACUAGGUGUCGGGGGAAUCGACCCCCUCGGUGUCGUAGCCAACGCGUUAAGUGUUCCGCCUGGGGAGUACGCACGCAAGUGUGAAACUCAAAGGAAUUGACGGGGGCCCGCACAAGCGGUGGAGUAUGUGGUUUAAUUCGAUGCAACGCGAAGAACCUUACCAGGGUUUGACAUCCUGCGAAUCCCUUGGAAACUUGGGAGUGCCUUCGGGAGCGCAGUGACAGGUGGUGCAUGGCUGUCGUCAGCUCGUGUCGUGAGAUGUUGGGUUAAGUCCCGCAACGAGCGCAACCCACGUCUUUAGUUGCCAGCAUUCAGUUGGGCACUCUAGAGAGACCGCCGGUGAUAAACCGGAGGAAGGUGUGGAUGACGUCAAGUCAUCAUGCCCCUUACAUCCUGGGCUACACACGUACUACAAUGCUACGGACAAAGGGCAGCAAACUCGCGAGAGCUAGCAAAUCCCAUAAACCGUGGCUCAGUUCAGAUCGUAGGCUGCAACUCGCCUACGUGAAGGAGGAAUCGCUAGUAAUCGCAGGUCAGCAUACUGCGGUGAAUACGUUCCCGGGCCUUGUACACACCGCCCGUCACACCAUGGAAGUUGGCCAUGCCCGAAGUCGUUACUCCAACCCGUAAGGGAGGAGGACGCCGA
This 1400-nucleotide ribosomal RNA is filed under the name Cyanobium sp. Bylot Island. RNAcentral describes it as "bacterial SSU rRNA". It matches the Rfam family "Bacterial small subunit ribosomal RNA". Lineage: Bacteria; Bacillati; Cyanobacteriota; Cyanophyceae; Synechococcales; Prochlorococcaceae. The record is from RNAcentral.